RNAcentral lists this ribosomal RNA (253 nucleotides) under uncultured bacterium. RNAcentral describes it as "partial 16S ribosomal RNA". It matches the Rfam family "Archaeal small subunit ribosomal RNA", at positions 474 to 727 of the family's 1478-position model. The record is from RNAcentral.
UACCAGCACCCCGAGUGGUCGGGACGAUUAUUGGGCCUAAAGCAUCCGUAGCCGGUUCUGCAAGUCCCCCGUUAAAUCCAGCUGCUCAACAGAUGGGCCGCGGAGGAUACUACAGAGCUAGGAGGCAGGAGAGGCAAGCGGUACUCAGUGGGUAGGGGUAAAAUCCGUUGAUCCAUUGAAGACCACCAGUGGCGAAGGCGGCUUGCCAGAAUGCGCUCGACGGUGAGGGAUGAAGGCUGGGGGAGCAAACCGG